RNAcentral lists this ribosomal RNA (406 nucleotides) under uncultured bacterium. RNAcentral describes it as "partial 16S ribosomal RNA". It matches the Rfam family "Bacterial small subunit ribosomal RNA", at positions 30 to 526 of the family's 1533-position model. The record is from RNAcentral.
AUUGAACGCUGGCGGCAGGCCUAACACAUGCAAGUCGAGCGAGCGGCGGACGGGUGAGUAAUGUCUGGGAAUCUGCCUGAUGGAGGGGGAUAACUACUGGAAACGGUAGCUAAUACCGCAUACCAUCGGAUGUACCCAGAUGGGAUUAGCUAGUAGGUGGGGUAAAGGCUCACCUAGGCGACGAUCCCUAGCUGGUCUGAGAGGAUGACCAGCCACACUGGAACGGAGACACGGUCCAGACUCCUACGGGAGGCAGCAGUGGGGAAUAUUGCACAAUGGGCGCAAGCCUGAUGCAGCCAUGCCGCGUGUGUGAAGAAGGCCUUCGGGUUGUAAAGCACUUUCAGCGAGGAGGCGUUACUCGCAGAAGAAGCACCGGCUAACUCCGUGCCAGCAGCCGCGGUAAUAC